AGGGCCUUGUUUACAUCAAAUGUUUAUUACUUCCCUUUUCAACAGCAAUGAGCAAAGCAAGUAAAAGAGGAAGUGGAAAAGCACUGAAAAAAUAAAUAAAUACUGCCAGAAGGGAACUCUAACAGGAUAAAUCAGAGUAUAAGGAUAGUUUAGGCAUUUUGGUAUCUCAUUUGUUUUUGGGUUAAUUGCUACUAUAUUGGCUUGGAUGGAUUGGUCAUGUCACACAGUCAUCUGGGCUGAUUUUUUAAGCCGCCAAGAGCAACAGUGUUACAAGUAAUUUUAAAGUCCUCAUGUGACUUCUCAACUGGUCAUGUCAGUUUUAAUUAAGUCAUGAUAGUUGUUUAGCUCAGGCUUUUUUCAAGGUCUUCCAUGUUUGGAUUGACAAAUUAACAAUAGAGUGUUGAAUAAAAUAUCAUCGAUUUGUCUCUUUUUUCAAGGUCUGACUCAAGGAUGAAGACUCUAACAGACUGCAUGUGAUGACUCCUGCAUGUGUUGGUAGUUACAGCUCCACCAAAACUAUCUUUAUUGACAAGUACCUCUCUUUCUCUGUCUUCUCUACUUUGGAUGAUAUUUCUUUUCAACCAUUAAUCCACCAAAAUUGACUUCUAGAAUGAGGUUAUCGUCAAUUUCUCUCAUAGCAUUGAUUUCUACGUUUACAGGAUCUGUUCAACAAGUAAAAGUCCUUGUAUUUAGAAUAAGAUUCCUUUAAACGUCAUUCCAGUCUCUAUAGAAUCAAUUACUAUUCAAACUUUACCAUGACUGAAAUUAUAACCGUCCGAACCUCACCUAACCCAACCUCCUACCCUUUUCUUUUAGGAGGGGAAAGAUAAAAGUGGCUUUCAGGUUCAAUGUACUGUCAAUUAAUUACUUGUUAGUAUCAACCUCCCUGUCUAUGGGAAUCCCUUUAUUUUUCUGGAAUAUUAUCUGUCCAUUGAAGCCCGACAGAAUCAAGUAUUCUUCAAUCCUUCCCAUGGGACAAUUCGCACCAAAAUUGCUGGCUCAUUAGGGGCACACU
RNAcentral lists this long non-coding RNA (1015 nucleotides) under Phoenix dactylifera (date palm). RNAcentral describes it as "long non-coding RNA (PDAC_LNC000933)". Lineage: Eukaryota; Viridiplantae; Streptophyta; Magnoliopsida; Arecales; Arecaceae. The record is from RNAcentral.